RNAcentral lists this ribosomal RNA (736 nucleotides) under Rhizoctonia solani. RNAcentral describes it as "eukaryotic LSU rRNA". The stretch from base 142 to 299 matches the Rfam family "5.8S ribosomal RNA". The record is from RNAcentral. Lineage: Eukaryota; Fungi; Basidiomycota; Agaricomycetes; Cantharellales; Ceratobasidiaceae.
CUGUGCACCUGUGAGGCAGAUGGGGAAAUUUAUUGAUUGUUUUUUAAGAACAAUCGGUGCUGGACCCUACUCUGUCUACUCAAUUCAUAUAAACUCAAUUUAUUUAAAAAUGAAUGUCAUGGAUGUAACACAUCUAAUACUAAGUUUCAACAACGGAUCUCUUGGCUCUCGCAUCGAUGAAGAACGCAGCGAAAUGCGAUAAGUAAUGUGAAUUGCAGAAUUCAUCGUGAAUCAUCGAAUCUUUGAACGCACCUUGCGUGCUCCUUGGUAUUCCUUGGAGCAUGCCUGUUUGAGUACUAGUUACGAUGUGUUACUCCCUGACUUCAUUUUUAAAUAAAAUGACGUUACUUUGCAAUGAGUAGACAGAGUAGGUCCAGCACCGAUUGCUUCUUAAAAAAAACCAAUCAAAUAAAUUUCCCCGAUCUGCCUCACAGGUGCACAGGUGUGUGUGGAUGAAAGGAGAGUCAAAGGUGGCCAAGGGAAAUGCAGAUGAACCGCUUCUAACGGUCCAUUGACUUGGACAAUUUCUUUUAUGAUUUGAUCUCAAAUCAGGUAGGACUACCCGCUGAACUUAAGCAUAUCAUAAACUUAAGCAUAUCAUAACCGGGAUUAGAAAAAUUCAAUAUGGAAUUUAAUGAAAGGGAAAUUGGUUUGUAUCUGGCUCAUUGUUCUGAGCAUGUGCACACCUUUUUCUCUUUCAUCCACACACACCUGUGCACCUGUGAGGCAGAUGGGG